AAUGAACGCUGGCGGCGUGCUUAACACAUGCAAGUCGAACGAGAAAGGGAUUGCUUGCAGUCCUGAGUAGAGUGGCGCACGGGUGAGUGACACGUAGAUAAUCUGCCUUCAAGCCUGGGAUAACUAUUCGAAAGGGUAGCUAAUACCGGAUAAAGUUGAAUAACAUAAGUUAUUUUAUGAAAGAUUGCCUCUUCUUGAAAGCAAUUGUUUGGGGAUGAGUUUGCGUACCAUUAGCUUGUUGGUGGGGUAAAGGCCUACCAAGGCAACGAUGGUUAGCUGGUCUGAGAGGAUGAUCAGUCACACUGGAACUGGAACACGGUCCAG
RNAcentral lists this ribosomal RNA (324 nucleotides) under uncultured Desulfobacter sp. Its description in RNAcentral is "bacterial SSU rRNA". It matches the Rfam family "Bacterial small subunit ribosomal RNA", at positions 29 to 334 of the family's 1533-position model. Lineage: Bacteria; Pseudomonadati; Thermodesulfobacteriota; Desulfobacteria; Desulfobacterales; Desulfobacteraceae. The record is from RNAcentral.